AACGAGAAGAGCCUUACCAAAUCUUGACAUCCUUUGAAAACUCUAGAGAUAGAGCCUUCCCCUUCGGGGGACAAAGUGACAGGUGGUGCAUGGUUGUCGUCAGCUCGUGUCGUGAGAUGUUGGGUUAAGUCCCGCAACGAGCGCAACCCUUAAGCUUAGUUGCCAUCAUUAAGUUGGGCACUCUAGGUUGACUGCCGGUGACAAACCGGAGGAAGGUGGGGAUGACGUCAAAUCAUCAUGCCCCUUAUGAUUUGGGCUACACACGUGCUACAAUGGACAAUACAAAGGGCAGCUAAACCGCGAGGUCAUGCAAAUCCCAUAAAGUUGUUCUCAGUUCGGAA
RNAcentral lists this ribosomal RNA (341 nucleotides) under Staphylococcus saprophyticus. Its description in RNAcentral is "bacterial SSU rRNA". It matches the Rfam family "Bacterial small subunit ribosomal RNA", at positions 958 to 1298 of the family's 1533-position model. The record is from RNAcentral. Lineage: Bacteria; Bacillati; Bacillota; Bacilli; Caryophanales; Staphylococcaceae.